CACGGGGGGCGCAAGCGUUAUUCGGAAUUAUUGGGCGUAAAGGGCGCGUAGGCGGUCUUAUCGGUCAGAUGUGAAAGCCCGGGGCUCAACCCUGGAAGUGCAUUUGAAACAGUAAGACUUGAGUACGGGAGAGGAAAGCGGAAUUCCUGGUGUAGAGGUGAAAUUCGUAGAUAUCAGGAGGAACACCGAUGGCGAAGGCAGCUUUCUGGACCGAUACUGACGCUGAGGCGCGAAGGCGUGGGUAGCGAACGGG
RNAcentral lists this ribosomal RNA (253 nucleotides) under uncultured bacterium. RNAcentral's name for it is "partial 16S ribosomal RNA". It matches the Rfam family "Bacterial small subunit ribosomal RNA", at positions 524 to 776 of the family's 1533-position model. The record is from RNAcentral.